This 160-nucleotide small RNA is filed under the name Pedobacter suwonensis. Its description in RNAcentral is "Flavo-1 RNA". It matches the Rfam family "Flavo-1 RNA". Lineage: Bacteria; Pseudomonadati; Bacteroidota; Sphingobacteriia; Sphingobacteriales; Sphingobacteriaceae. The record is from RNAcentral.
AUUUAAACCUGAUAGAAAUGGAAAUCCUUUUUAAUUUGCAACAGCCCUGAAUCUGCUGUCAUGCUGAGGGACGAAGCAUCUGUAACCGAUGAAACACGUGCUUCGCACUCCGGUAUAACAGUGCGUAUUAAAAAGAUUGGAAUGCAUAGCAGGGCUAUCG